CUGCGGCGCAUCCCGGCAGCCACCGCGGCGACUGGGCGGCGGGUGCCAUGCGCCUGGAGCUUCUUUUUCCCAGCUCCCGCCCACCGCGGCCGCCCGCCUCCACGGUCACGCCCCAGACCGCUGACACCUGUCAAGCAGCUCCAUGGACUGUAGCCCUCAAGGCUCCACUGUCCAUGGGAUUUCCCAGGCAAAAAUACUUAGUGAAUUGCCAUUUCCUUCUCCAGAGGAUCUUCCUGACUCAGGGAUCAACCCUGCAUCUCCAGGCGGAUUCUUUACCACUGAGCCACCUGGGAAACCCAAAGAUAAAAUUACCCAACAACUGUUCUGAAGACGUCUCGGUCAUCUACAUUUUGACUUCAUUUCUGGAGAGCAGCACUUAGUGAAAUGGGAGGUGCGUCAGUAGGACUGUGCUCCACAACCGUUUUCAGCCAGCUAAUCAGAUAGACUUUUAUCAGCCACCUUGCAGACCUCAACCAUCAGAAGUAAGAGCUCCUUUUCGCAUAAGGUGCGAUUUAAAAUCGACUGGCUAGAACCUCCAGUACAAUGUUGAAGAGAAGUUGUGGUAGUGGCACCUUUGUCUUGUUCCUGACUUCAAAGGGAAAUCUUUCAACACUUCAUCAGUGUUUCAACAGGGUUGCUGAGUUUUUGUUUCAUUUUGUUUUUUAACAAAUCUUUGAGCAGAUUAAGGAAUUCCCCUUCUAAUCCUAACUCUCUUGCUGAGAGUUUUUAUCAUGAUUGGAAAUGAGUUUUAUCAGAUUGUUUUCUGUACCUGUUGAGAUGAUCAUAGGAUUUUUCUCUUUUAUUCCCUUUGUAUGGUAAAUUAUGUGGGUUGGUUUUCCACUCUUCAGCCAACCUUGCAAUGCUGGCAUGAACCCAACCUGAUCAUGAUAUACUGGCCUUUUUGUAUAUCAUUGAAUAUAGAGUAGUAUUAAAUUUUUGUUUAAUCUUUUGUGUUAUGUUUACAAGUAAGGUUGGUCUGUUAUUUUCCUUCUUUUAGUAGAAACAUGUCAGAUUUUGCUGGUCUCAUGAAACAAGCUAGUGAGUACUUCUUUGUUUUCUAGGCUCAAGAAGACUUUGUGUAAGACUCAUCAUUAUUUCUUCCUUAAAUGUUUGCUACAAUUCACCAAAGAAACAAUGUGAACCUAGAGUUUUCUUUAUGAGAAGGUCUUUUUAUUAAAAGAUUAAAUAGUUUAAUGCUACUCAGAUUUUCUGUAUCUGCUUGUUUCGGUUUUUAACAGUUUUUUUUAGCACAUUGUCUGCUUCAUUUACAUUUUCAAAUUUAAUGACAAAGUUUUUCAUAGUAUCUUCUAUUAUCACUUAAUGUCUAUAGAAUCUUUGGUAAUGUCCUACUUUUUUAUUCCCAAUACUGGUUAUUUUGCUCUCUCUCUUUUUUUAAAUCAAUUUACCAGGCAUUUAGCAAUUUUAUUACUUUUUUUUUUCUUCUUCUUCUUCUGUCUUCCCUGAGCAUCACGGCAGCGCGUCAGGGAUUGCCACGCAGCGUUUAAAGACGAUGUCACUCACACGAGGACGCCUGGCGAGAGCUUUUAUUACUUUUUUAAAAGACCAACUUUUGACUUUGUUGAUCCAAUUAUAUGUAUGCUUUUUUAAAUUAAUUUCUACUAAUAUUAUUUCCUAUCUUCCAGUUUUUUCCUAAUUUUUUAAAAUGAAUGCUUAGCUCAUUGGUUUCUCAGCCUUCUGUUGUGUUUCUUUUCUUAUAUUUACAUUUAGGGCUAUAAAUUUCUCUAUAAGCAAUUAACUUCAAGUUUUGAUAACAUUAUUUUCAUGAUUUUUCAGUUCCAAAUAGUUUCCACUUGUAUUUGAAAAGAAUGAUUUGUAUUCUCUCUUGUUUAGGAGUAUAGUGUUCCUCAGAUACAAAUUUGAUCUAAUGAUUGUAUUGUUCAAGUAUUGUAUUAUAUUCAAGUAUUCAAGUUCAAGUAUUGUUUUAUAUGUUGUAUUGUUUUAUAUCCCAACUGAUAUUUUGUUUACUUACUUUAUCAGUUAUUGAAGGAUGUUAAGAUCUCCCACUAUCAUUAUGGGUUUAUCUCUUUUUCCUUCUACUGCUAAUCUUUGCUUUCAGUACUUUGAACCUCUAUAUUAAAUGUCAAAAUUAUGAUAUUUU
Molecule: long non-coding RNA, 2119 nt
Organism: Bubalus bubalis (water buffalo)
Lineage: Eukaryota; Metazoa; Chordata; Mammalia; Artiodactyla; Bovidae
Exons: 3
Source: RefSeq, a predicted model, not a curated record